UACGAAGGGGGCUAGCGUUGCUCGGAAUCACUGGGCGUAAAGGGUGCGUAGGCGGGUCUUUAAGUCAGGGGUGAAAUCCUGGAGCUCAACUCCAGAACUGCCUUUGAUACUGAGGAUCUUGAAUUCGGGAGAGGUGAGUGGAACUGCGAGUGUAGAGGUGAAAUUCGUAGAUAUUCGCAAGAACACCAGUGGCGAAGGCGACUACCUGGCCCAUUCUUGACGCUGAGGCGCGAAAGCUAGGGGAGCGAACGGG
This 253-nucleotide ribosomal RNA is filed under the name uncultured bacterium. RNAcentral's name for it is "partial 16S ribosomal RNA". It matches the Rfam family "Bacterial small subunit ribosomal RNA", at positions 524 to 776 of the family's 1533-position model. The record is from RNAcentral.